GACGAACGCUGGCGGCGUGCCUAAUACAUGCAAGUCGAACGCUUCUUUCCUCCCGAGUGCUUGCACUCAAUUGGAAAGAGGAGUGGCGGACGGGUGAGUAACACGUGGGUAACCUACCCAUCAGAGGGGGAUAACACUUGGAAACAGGUGCUAAUACCGCAUAACAGUUUAUGCCGCAUGGCAUAAGAGUGAAAGGCGCUUUCGGGUGUCGCUGAUGGAUGGACCCGCGGUGCAUUAGCUAGUUGGUGAGGUAACGGCUCACCAAGGCCACGAUGCAUAGCCGAACUGAGAGGGUGAUCGGCCACACUGGGACUGAGACACGGCCCAGACUCCUACGGGAGGCAGCAGUAGGGAAUCUUCGGCAAUGGACGAAAGUCUGACCGAGCAACGCCGCGUGAGUGAAGAAGGUGUUCGGAUCGUAAAACUCUGUUGUUAGAGAAGAACAAGGACGUUAGUAACUGAACGUCCCCUGACGGUAUCUAACCAGAAAGCCACGGCUAACUACGUG
Molecule: ribosomal RNA, 508 nt
Filed under: uncultured bacterium
Lineage: Bacteria
Description: partial 16S ribosomal RNA
Rfam family: Bacterial small subunit ribosomal RNA
Source: RNAcentral